Numida meleagris (helmeted guineafowl) is the source of this 1206-nucleotide long non-coding RNA. RefSeq lists it as uncharacterized. The record is from RefSeq and is a predicted model, not a curated record. NCBI's taxonomy places the organism in Eukaryota, Metazoa, Chordata, Aves, Galliformes, Numididae. The transcript is spliced from 2 exons.
CCAUCGGGGUCCCCAUGUCCACACUGCCACUGCCCAUGUGCCCACCCCACCAGGGUCCUCAUGUCCAUCCCAUUGGGGUCUGCAUAUCUAUCCCAUUGGGGUCUGCAUAUUCAUCCCACUGGGGUCUGCAUAUCCAUCCCACUGGGGUCUGUGCACCCAUCCCACCAAGGUCUGUGUGUCCAUCCCAUUGGGGUCCCCAUGUCCACACCACCACCGCCCAUGUGCCCACCCCACCAGGGUCCUCAUGUCCAUCCCAUUGGGGUCUGCGUAUCCAACCCAUCGGAGUCCCCACGUCCAUCCCCACUGGGCUCCCCAUACCCCAGCCCAGGGGGAGGCUGGAGGCGGCUGGGAGCUGAUGGGAUCGGGUGGUGAUGUGAAGACGCCGUAUUAAUAUUUAUUCCAUCAAGCGGGCGGCUCGCAGCUCGGCGCGGCUCCGCCGUGCUCUGACCGCAGCACCAACCCUCAGGCACCGCAAACACAAUUUGAAAACAAUGUGACGGAAAUGUUUAAUCUGCUCAGCCCAUCUGUGCUGCGUAUUUCUCCAGAUCUCCCUGAGAGAGGCGCCUUCGAAUCUCCACAUUGCCUUUAAUAUUCUCCUAAAUCACCUCCCCACCGCACUUCAAGGGCCAUUGCUACAAUAUCACAGCCAAUUAUUUUCGCCUUGAAAGCCUGAUGGAAGCGAGCAGCCGUCCGCGCUCGCCUCUGCCCGUGACCUGUGAAGAGGGCCGGCGGUAAUUGUGCACAUGUGUGUGCGCGCGUGCGAGGAGCCCGGCCGCCAGCGGAGGGAUGGGAACAGCAGGAGGAGGGCGAGGGGGGGGGGAUGCGGCCGAGUGUGACCCCCCCCCCCCCAAUUCCACCACAAGGGUCACCAGGCGCUGUGCAAACCCCCGCUCCCUCCCUGCGCUGGGAUUUGGGAUGCGUGCUCCCGGGAUGCCACCCUUGGGCCACGAUCCCUACCCGGGAGCCGUCCUGGAUGCGGCGCCCCGGGGCCGUGCAGCCGAAGGGGAAACCUCAGCGUGGGGCAAAGGGAUGGGGAGAGGAAGGAGAAACGCUGCCGGGUCCCGGGUGCGAGCGCUCCGCAUCCGCCCGGCUGUACCGGCUCGUAAAUACGGCGCGGAGAGCUGUAAUUUGGUGAUAGCUACCCCAGGACAUAUCGAGAUCCACUUCUGUUAUUUUAAUUAAAUACUGCAUUACGGUUUGUGACAA